AGUGAACGCUGGCGGCAGGCCUAACACAUGCAAGUCGAGCGGCAGCACGGCAAUAGCAAUAUUGUGGGUGGCGAGCGGCGGACGGGUGAGGAAUGCAUCGGGAUCUACCCUGUCGUGGGGGACAACGUAGGGAAACUUACGCUAAUACCGCAUGAUCUGGAGACAGCAAAGCCGGGGACCUUCGGGCCUGGCGCGACGGGAUGAGCCGAUGUCCGAUUAGCUAGUUGGCGGGGUAAAGGCCCACCAAGGCGACGAUCGGUAGCUGGUCUGAGAGGACGACCAGCCACACUGGAACUGAGACACGGUCCAGACUCCUACGGGAGGCAGCAGUGGGGAAUAUUGGACAAUGGGGGCAACCCUGAUCCAGCCAUGCCGCGU
RNAcentral lists this ribosomal RNA (378 nucleotides) under uncultured bacterium. Its description in RNAcentral is "bacterial SSU rRNA". It matches the Rfam family "Bacterial small subunit ribosomal RNA", at positions 30 to 402 of the family's 1533-position model. The record is from RNAcentral.